Acanthosepion pharaonis is the source of this 113-nucleotide non-coding RNA. The record is from the annotation of a GenBank genome assembly. NCBI's taxonomy places the organism in Eukaryota, Metazoa, Mollusca, Cephalopoda, Sepiida, Sepiidae.
AUGACCACAUCAUGUUGAAACACUGGUUUCCCAUGUGAUCAGCAAAGUUAAACAAUGUAGAGCCUGGUCAGUUGCUAGAUGGGUGAUCGCUUUGGAAUACCAGGUGCUGUAAG